UAUCUUGCGCGCAAGCCAAUGGGUAAAUGGUGCGGUACGCCGCCCAUGACUGGAAACCCACAGGCACAGACAAAUCGAGUGUUGCGGGAUUACGGGUACGGCCGAUGGCGCAAGCCUUCGUCGGACCCCUCCAUCCCAGGGUGUCCCGUUCGGGUGCUUGCACCCAGCGGACAUCCCCGGAGUGCGUAGGAUGUGACCCGAAAGAUGGUGAACUAUGCCUGAUCAGGUUGAAGUCAGGGGAAACCCUGAUGGAGGACCGAAGCAAUUCUGACGUGCAAAUCGAUUGUCAGAGUUGGGCAUAGGGGCGAAAGACCAAUCGAACCAU
RNAcentral lists this ribosomal RNA (325 nucleotides) under Anopheles minimus C. RNAcentral's name for it is "eukaryotic LSU rRNA". It matches the Rfam family "Eukaryotic large subunit ribosomal RNA", at positions 676 to 943 of the family's 3401-position model. Lineage: Eukaryota; Metazoa; Arthropoda; Insecta; Diptera; Culicidae. The record is from RNAcentral.